RNAcentral lists this ribosomal RNA (814 nucleotides) under uncultured archaeon. Its description in RNAcentral is "bacterial SSU rRNA". It matches the Rfam family "Archaeal small subunit ribosomal RNA", at positions 85 to 879 of the family's 1478-position model. The record is from RNAcentral.
ACUGCUCAGUAACACGUGGCCAACCUGCCCUCGGGAGGGGGAUAACCCCGGGAAACUGGGGCUAAACCCCCAUAGGGGAUGGGUGGUGGAAUUCCCCCAUCCCCGAAAGUGUGCCGUUCCCGUAAGGGGCGGCACAGCCCGAGGAUGGGGCUGCGGCGGAUUAGGUAGUUGGCGGGGUAACGGCCCGCCAAGCCGAAGAUCCGUACGGGCCAUGAGAGUGGGAGCCCGGAGAUGGACCCUGAGACAAGGGUCCAGGCCCUACGGGGCGCAGCAGGCGCGAAACCUCCGCAAUGCGGGAAACCGCGACGGGGUCAGCCGGAGUGCCCGCGCAUCGCGCGGGCUGUCGGGGAGCCUAAACAGCUCCCCAUAGCAAGGGCCGGGCAAGGCCGGUGGCAGCCGCCGCGGUAAUACCGGCGGCCCGAGUGGCGGCCACUAUUAUUGGGCCUAAAGCGUCCGUAGCCGGGCUGGUAAGUCCCCCGGGAAAUCUGGCGGCUUAACCGUCAGACUUCCGGGGGAUACUGCCAGCCUAGGGACCGGGAGAGGCCGGGGGAAUUCCCGGGGUAGGGGUGAAAUCCUAUAAUCCCGGGAGGACCACCUGUGGCGAAGGCGCCCGGCUGGAACGGGUCCGACGGUGAGGGACGAAGGCCAGGGGAGCGAACCGGAUUAGAUACCCGGGUAGUCCUGGCUGUAAACGAUGCGGGCUAGGUGUCGGGCCAGCUACGAGCUGGCCCGGUGCCGGAGGGAAGCCGUUAAGCCCGCCGCCUGGGGAGUACGGCCGCAAGGCUGAAACUUAAAGGAAUUGGCGGGGGACCAC